This 447-nucleotide ribosomal RNA is filed under the name uncultured bacterium. RNAcentral describes it as "bacterial SSU rRNA". It matches the Rfam family "Bacterial small subunit ribosomal RNA", at positions 29 to 523 of the family's 1533-position model. The record is from RNAcentral.
AGCGAACGCUGGCGGCAGGCCUAACACAUGCAAGUCGAGCGCCCAGCAAUGGUAGCGGCAGACGGGAUAGUAACACGUGGGAACGUACCUUUCAGUUCGGAACAACCCAGGGAAACUUGGGCUAAUACCGAAUACGCCCGUAAGGGGAAAGAUUUAUCGCUGAAAGAUCGGCCCGCGUCUGAUUAGCUAGUUGGUGGGGUAAUGGCCCACCAAGGCGACGAUCAGUAGCUGGUCNGAGAGGAUGAUCAGCAUCACUGGGACUGAGACACGGCCCAGACUCCUACGGGAGGCAGCAGUGGGGAAUAUUGGACAAUGGGCGCAAGCCUGAUCCAGCAAUGCCGCGUGAGUGAGGAAGGCCUUAGGGUUGUAAAGCUCUUUCACCCGCGACGAUGAUGACGGUAGCGGGAGAAGAAGCCCCGGCUAACUCCGUGCCAGCCGCCGCCGUAA